AACCGACUACAUGAAGCUGGAAUCGCUAGUAAUCGCAGGUCAGCAUACUGCGGUGAAUACGUUCCCGGGUCUUGUACACACCGCCCGUCACACCAUGGGAGCCGGAAAUGCCCGAAGCCAGUGACCCAACCUUAGGGAGGGAGCUGUCGAAGGUGGAGCCGGUAACUGGGGUGAAGUCGUAACAAGGUAAC
RNAcentral lists this ribosomal RNA (191 nucleotides) under uncultured bacterium. Its description in RNAcentral is "partial 16S ribosomal RNA". It matches the Rfam family "Bacterial small subunit ribosomal RNA", at positions 1310 to 1500 of the family's 1533-position model. The record is from RNAcentral.